RNAcentral lists this ribosomal RNA (460 nucleotides) under uncultured bacterium. RNAcentral describes it as "partial 16S ribosomal RNA". It matches the Rfam family "Bacterial small subunit ribosomal RNA", at positions 338 to 795 of the family's 1533-position model. The record is from RNAcentral.
CCUACGGGUGGCAGCAGUGAGGAAUAUUGGUCAAUGGGCGAGAGCCUGAACCAGCCAAGUCGCGUGAAGGAUGAAGGAUCUAUGGUUUGUAAACUUCUUUUAUAUGGGAAUAAAGUGAGGAACGUGUUCCUUUUUGUAUGUACCAUACGAAUAAGCAUCGGCUAAGUCCGUGCCAGCAGCCGCGGUAAUACGGAGGAUGCGAGCGUUGUCCGGAUUUAUUGGGUUUAAAGGGUGCGUAGGUUGUUUUAUAAGUCAGCGGUGAAAGUUUGUGGCUCAACCAUAAAAUUGCCGUUGAAACUGGAGAACUUGAGUGUGUUAGAGGUAGGCGGAAUGCGUGGUGUAGCGGUGAAAUGCGUAGAUAUCACGCAGAACACCGAUUGCGAAGGCAUCUCACGGAACCGCGAUUGACGCUGAUGCACGAAAGCGUGGGUAUCAAACAGGAUUAGAUACCCGAGUAGUC